Molecule: transfer RNA, 66 nt
Filed under: Paracyba sp.
Lineage: Eukaryota; Metazoa; Arthropoda; Insecta; Hemiptera; Cicadellidae
Description: tRNA-His
Source: RNAcentral
AUUAAAAUAGUUUAAAUUUCCAAACAAGGAGUUGUGGGUUCCUAGAUCCCUYUUGGGKUUUUAAUU